Molecule: long non-coding RNA, 478 nt
Filed under: Physcomitrium patens
Lineage: Eukaryota; Viridiplantae; Streptophyta; Bryopsida; Funariales; Funariaceae
Description: long non-coding RNA (PPAT_LNC013766)
Source: RNAcentral
AGAAAAUAGCAGUGUACAAGAUGUGCCCUUGAAGCUGUCGGUUGUGUCCGACCCAGACAUCUCGAAUGCAGCGAUUGUAGAAGUUGGCGUUGAAGAGUCAGAAUUUGCUUGGCAGGCAGAGAAUGAAGAGCAAAGCUCAUAUAGAACUCUAGAGGAGAAAUAUCCGUUCGGAAAUGAGAUCGUCUUUGACAGCCUCGAGGAGUCAUUCGUUGCAUCCGGCCAUAAUUCAAAAUGGACAAUUGUUGAUGAUAGAGAGGAGCAGUCCACAUUAUCCAGGACAGCUGACAAGGAGGAGGAUAUCUCAAAGAGUGGCCUUGAGAAAAAGGCAGUGCUCGAGAAUGAAGAGACAGUAGUGCAUAUUUCCAAAAACUCAGUUGAAGUUCCUUACCAGGCUGAUACCCAUAAUACUAUAAGUUUUAGGGCUGACGACGUACUGAAUCACUCAAAUACUCCAUGCGAAGUUAAGGCUGAAGACGAC